This 253-nucleotide ribosomal RNA is filed under the name uncultured bacterium. RNAcentral describes it as "partial 16S ribosomal RNA". It matches the Rfam family "Bacterial small subunit ribosomal RNA", at positions 524 to 776 of the family's 1533-position model. The record is from RNAcentral.
UACGUAGGGGGCUAGCGUUGUCCGGAAUCAUUGGGCGUAAAGCGCGUGUAGGCGGCCCGGUAAGUCCGCUGUGAAAGUCGGGGGCUCAACCCUCGGAUGCCGGUGGAUACUGUCGGGCUCGAGUACGGAAGAGGCGAGUGGAAUUCCUGGUGUAGCGGUGAAAUGCGCAGAUAUCAGGAGGAACACCAAUUGCGAAGGCAGCUCGCUGGGACGUUACUGACGCUGAGACGUGAAAGCGUGGGGAGCAAACAGG